CUAAAACAUGUCUUAAAUAAGUAAAAGAUCUCAUAAAAACCGAAUAAAAAAUGUCACAACUCGAUACAUAAGUUUCCAAAGCCAGGGUGUCACUGAGUACAUCAGAAUCUACACAAUACAAAUCUAAAACAUUGUCUAAGAAAUUGAAACUGAAUAAGUAAAACUAAGGGAUAGGGGAGGAGAGUCAAGGUCUCCGGACCCCAGGGCAACUACCUUGAUAAUCUCCAAAUGANNNNNNNNNNNNNNNNNNNNNNNNNCGAUAAACUCUAAGAAUCAACAACCACCAUGUCUAGAAAUACCUGGAUCUGCACAUGAAGUGCAGGGUGUAGCGUGAGUACAACCAACUCAGUAAAUAACAAGUCUAACUAUUAGGCUGAAAGUAGUGACGAGCUUCAUAUGUACAGUUCAAUUAUAGAAUUACAGUACAAAAAUGUAGACAUGCUUUCAAUUUAACAGUUAAAGCCCAAAUAGGUAAAUCAUGUCAAGUUUAAUUGAAACAAGAUAUGGUACAUCUUGGUAUCUACUUGUCAGUUAUAUAUGCCAACUAAAUUACAAAACAAUAAUGAAAUCACAUGCAUACUCUCAAAGUAUCAUUCACUCCAUCCUUACUCUCACUUCAUCCUCACAGUCACUCCUCCCUCACAAUCACUUAUUCUUUACAGUCCCUCCAUCCUCAAAGUUACUCAAUCCUCCCAAUCACUCAGCACUCGCGCACUCGCUCAAUAGGUACCUGCGCUCACUGUGGGUGUGCAGAUUUUUGGAGGGGCAAAUCCAGCCCAAGCACUAGAAUAAGCCAAUCAUGCCAUGAAUCAAUAAAACUUGCUGCAAUAUGCAGCUCGAUCCCAUAAAUUACCUCACAAUCAGGCCUCACUCAGUCAUCAAUCUCUGUAGUAUGUCGGGCUCACAAGAAUUAGGAUAAUCAACCCAAAUAAUGAUGAUAUGAUGCAAUAAAGGACAACAGAGACUGAGAUAUAAUAUGCAAUAAUAGAUGUGACUAAGUACAAAAUUGCAAAUUAAGCAAAUAAUUCAACAUGUAACAUGACCUCAGUGGGUCUCAACAAUACCAACGCGUAGCCUAAGCAUGACUUCUAACAUGACUGGCAACUCAAUUUGUCUAACACAUAGGUGGGAAUAUGGAUAACGACAAGAUUAUUCAACUAUACAGUUCCAUGGAAUCGACCAGAUCACAAUUCAUAUGGUGCACGCACACACGCCCGCCACUAGCAUGUGUGUCACCUCAACAUUAAUAAUAUAACACGUAAUUCGGGGUUUCAUACCCUCAGAACGAAGUUUAGAAGUGUUACUUACCUCAAACCUUGCAAAUCUCUACUCCAAUAAACCCUUGCCUCGCGAAUCAGCCUCCAAAUGCCUCGAAUCUAGCCACAAAUAAUUCCAUACAAUCAACACGGGCUAAAGGAAUCAAUUCCAUAAGAAAAUACUAAGUUCUUAAUCAAAAGUUAAAAAGUCAACUCAAAAGUCAACCCUUGGGCCCAUGUCUUGAAAUCUGAUAAAAGUCACAAAAUUUGGAAGCCAACACGAGUCCAACCAUACCAAUUUGCCAAAUUCCGACACCAAAUCGUCACUCAAAUCCCCUUCAAAAAUUCCACCUCAAAAAUACACAAACUAGGUAGGAAAUUCAAUGUGAAAACAAGAUUAUUGAAUAAAAAUGAUCACAAGUGAUUUAUCUCAAGAAACCCUUCGAAAUCCCUCUCAAAAAUCACCUUAGUCCGAGUUUGCAAAGUCCAAAUGAGAAAAAUCACGAAACCCUUCAGAUUUAACACUGCCAGUGCUUUCGUACCGAUGACCUGUCACACCUCCUUUUUCUACCCCGAAAGGGUAUAAGGGACUUUUACCAAUUAAAGUGACAAUAAUCGAAACGGGAUUAUUUAUUCAAAUUCAGAGUCGUCACUUGAGAUAAUUUAGAGUGUUCCAAGUCACCGGUUUAAAAUCACGAAUCGAGGAAAGAUUGACUCUGUUUUACAGUCCGCAAAAUACAAAAAUCUGGGUAAGGAAUUCUGUUAACCCGGAAGAAGGUGUUAGGCAUUCCCGGGUUCCGUAGUUUUAGCACGGUCGCUCAACUAUUAUUAUUGGCCUAAUUAUCUGAUUAAGUACAUAUUUUAUACAUAUUGUGCAUUUUUAUUCCUUUUUACCGCUUUUAACAUUUAUAGGAUUAUUUCUGGAACAAGUCACGACGUCGUACACUUGCCAUUUUGGUACAUGGUACAAACCGCGCUACAUGAAAUGCACCCGCGAUUUACGACAUGUUUAUUUUAAUAUUAUUCAAUAGGGUCACAUGAAAUGCACUGUCGAAUUGAGAUUUACGUAUCGCGACCAUGCCACGGGAACUGUACCCAUGACCACGAUGAACUCAUUUACGCACCUAAAAGUUGGCCUACCCACGUGAUGAUGGCCUAGCAUGCUGGUAGCGGUCCAAUUAACGAGAGUAAGAAUAAAGAACGACAAAAUUAUAUCAAACUCAAUCUCAAAACAUAUGGCAGGCCAAAAUUUACAUGUAACCCUUAGUCCUAUUCCUUUUUUAAGUUCAGCACAAAUUAAAAUUAAAAUUUCAGCACAUAUGGCAAGCCAAAAUUAAAAUUUCUGCGCAAGCUAGUUCGUAAGUAGUUUAUUUCACAUUCAGUUCUCAAUAUUUAAUUUCCAAAUUCGUGAGUUCCAAGUAAAGACAAAUGCAACACAAUUAAGAAACAACAAAACUUGCUCAAAUAGUGACAGACCAUUCAUUCAAUUUAGACAACUAGACUCAACAUGAUUACUAAGAUAAAGUUCAUUCAAUCAACAGUCAAACAUCAAAGUAUUUACUAAAUCAUGCAAAAAUAAGGCAUCACAUAUAUAUGAGAUCAAAGGAACAACAGAUAAGGAAAGGAGAUGGACCUUUAUUGCUGCAUAUUCCUCAACGUGUAUAACGACAGAAAAUCUUCAAUGCAACAAUUCAAUAACAAACUAAAGACCUGAACCUUGAACCGGAAACGGAGCUUCGAACGGAUCUCAUCUUCAAUCAAGCUGUUACAUUCGGGUAUAUGAGUUCCAUUUUUUUCAGUGGGUUUUGUAGUGACGGGAUGGUACCGAUGCAGCUUCUUCAGAACGGAUUGGAUCUCUCUUUACUUCUGGUUUCUGGAUUGAAAAUCGUCGUCGUCCCCUCUCACUCUGUUGCUGUUCGUUUUCAGUCGUCCUCCCCGUUCUACGUCCGUGUGUGCGUGUGUGUGAAGAAUACAGGUGCUCAAGGGUGUUGUUUUGGUGAGGGUAACGUUAGGUUGAAGCUUAGGGGUCGUUGGUUUUGUUUUUUGUCUAGGAGAAGAAGAAAAGGGUCGUUCGUUGUUGGUCUCGCUGCUUAGGUCUUAGGGUUCCGCCAAAAGGGUUGAAGAUGGAGGGGUGUCUGCGGCGCUGCUGGGAGCUUCUUCUUUUUCGUUAGGUUUUUUGUUAGGUCUUCCAAAAAUCAGGGAAAUGGCUGGUUAGGUCUCUUUAUGCUGAAGGUUUUUU
Molecule: long non-coding RNA, 3495 nt
Filed under: Nicotiana tabacum (common tobacco)
Lineage: Eukaryota; Viridiplantae; Streptophyta; Magnoliopsida; Solanales; Solanaceae
Description: long non-coding RNA (NTAB_LNC008449)
Source: RNAcentral